UGAGAAAGAGAAGAACCUGGAGAGAAGAGAUAUAACGCGGGAAGAGGGGUUACAUCGCCGGCGAAGGGGACUGGACUGCCGACAAGGGCAGUGGCUGGUGUCCUCUAGACUCUAAGAUCAUUACAGUAGCGCCAAGAAGUGGAUGUGCCCCAAGCCAAGCAUCAGCAUCCUUAGACAGACUGAUACAUGGAAUCUCCAAGACCUGACCCAAGACCUGACUCUUCACAUCGCUCUCCCUAAUUAAGCACCAAUGUGAUCAGCCUCGGAACUCUGGGUAACCCACUCCAAACGCCACCUCCAUUAAACGGAUACAAGGAGCCAUAGAA
This 326-nucleotide long non-coding RNA is filed under the name Mus caroli (Ryukyu mouse). RNAcentral's name for it is "lncRNA (MGP_CAROLIEiJ_G0006490.1)". Lineage: Eukaryota; Metazoa; Chordata; Mammalia; Rodentia; Muridae. The record is from RNAcentral.